GCCCGUAUGGCUUAGAGGUGUAGCGUUUGUUUCGUAAACAAAAGGUGGCGAGUUCGAUUCUCGUUACGGGCA
Molecule: transfer RNA, 72 nt
Filed under: Cryptomonas sp.
Lineage: Eukaryota; Cryptophyceae; Cryptomonadales; Cryptomonadaceae
Description: tRNA-Thr
Rfam family: tRNA
About the family: Transfer RNA (tRNA) molecules are approximately 80 nucleotides in length. Their secondary structure includes four short double-helical elements and three loops (D, anti-codon, and T loops).
Source: RNAcentral